CAGUGUUGGCAGCCAGAUGCCCCUUUCCCCAGUCUGGUAUGUCUUGAUUGGCUAGAGAAGCCUAGUCUCUCUGAACCUUCUUGUCAAAGUUUGGUAGCCAGCCUUGCUGAGGGAGAGAUGUCUCACUUUCAGAGUACUGUGCUAGGACCGAAUAUAGUGUUUCAUCAGUUUAUGAACAAGGCUGAGUUCUGGGGGCCUUGGAGAUCAUAGGAGGUUAAAAUCUGAACCAUUUACUAAGUCAGAUGUUGGGGCAUAAUAUUCAGCUGUGAGCAGAGUUGCUGUCACAUGAGAUCCUAACAUGAAUUACUAACAUUGCUUAUAACUGUGUUUGCCAAAUGCAGAGGCUUCCUUUUGACUUUCAAAAUUGGUUUCUUAGAUCACUUUUCAAAUUAGGAUGCACAUUAGCAGCUCUUUUAGGAGGAGUAUUACUCUCUAGUUCCAUCCUUUGGGAAGGCCUUGGAACUCUUCUUUCUUUCUAAGGGGCUGUCCACAAAGGAAAAUCAUCCCAUUCUUUGCUUCUCCUGUUGAGAUGGUAAACAACCAUGUUAUGCUUUCUUCAGUUACCCUUUACAAGAGAGAGAGAAAUGCCCAAAUGUCCCCUUUGCAUAUCCUGCAGGACCUUCUUGGGGAUGAGUAGGAAAGGAGUACCGGACCAGUGGGUCUCUUCGCAUUUCUGUGACCCUGGCUUUUCUGUUUGUUUACCAAAGGACCGGGAAACACCAAGCCUUCCAAGCCCUCAGCUGUGCCUCCAGGCCCCCCUGUGUAUUUGGACCUGUGCUAUAUUCCCAAUCACAGCAAUAGUAAGAAUGUUGAUGUCGAAUUUUUCAAGAGAGUGAGGUCAUCCUACUACGUGGUGAGUGGGAAUGACCCUGCUGCUGAGGAGCCCAGCCGGGCUGUCCUGGAUGCCUUGUUGGAAGGGAAAGCCCAGUGGGGCAGCAACAUGCAGGUAACCCUGAUCCCUACUCAUGACUCGGAAGUGAUGAGGGAAUGGUACCAAGAGACCCACGAGAAACAACAAGACCUCAACAUCAUGGUUUUAGCAAGCAGCAGCACAGUGGUUAUGCAAGACGAAUCCUUCCCUGCAUGCAAGAUUGAACUGUAAAAACCAAGGCCAGCCACACCACAGGAUUUGAACUUUGUUUCCAGAAAUUCUUCAAUUUGAAACCACCUUUUCUAAAAAGUCAAUGCGUCUAAAUAAGUCACUGAACUGUUACCUGCCAAAUGCUAUACUGUGUCACGGUGAUGCAAGUCACUAAUAUUUCUUAGUUUUUGCUGAUUGCUAAGGGAAGUAACAGUAUUCCCACAGUAGGGUUCAAGUUACUGCAAAAUUACCUAUCCCAGUUCAUCUCUGCUGAACAUUUGGAAACCAUGCACUAGCAAACCCAACUGACUUCUGCUAGGUAGAGGCAUUUGUCUUAGAGAGAGAGAGAGAGAGAGAGAGAAAGAGAGAGAGAGUGCGCGCGCACAAUGAGAGAGAACACAGGAGAGAGAGAAGGAGAAAGGAAAAGAAUGCAAGAGAAGGAGAGGUAAUGGUAGAGAGUGCUGGUGAGAUACCCAGAGAGAAAGAGACAGAGCAAGGUGGGGUAAGGAGGAGAGAAUAACCAGCACUUAGGGCUGCAUUUUCUCAGGCAGUCUGUAUUCUGUAGUCUACAUAGGCCAAGUUUUCAAUUUGUGUCAGUCUGAGUCAUCAAAAAGGGUCUUCAUUUUCUAAAACAAGUUAGCUGGAAGGAAACAAAAAGAACAAAACUUGUUACGAGGGCAUGUGAGAUUUUCACGCCUUAAUUAAGCUCCUUCAGUUUGAAGGCUGCACACUGACAUGAUGUAGUGAGCGCAGACUGGAUGAGCGAGUGGUUUGAACCCCAUUCCGAACUCUCAGACUCUUCAGACACACGAGUAGAUUGAUCUAAGGCAUGCUCCCAGCAUUUGUCCACCCAGUUAGUCCACUCGGAGUCACUUCACCUGCAUGCGGAAACACCCAAGUCCACCCCAAUUAACAAGCAAAUACCAAAGCGGUUGGGAGUACACACGGUAGACAAUUUGCCUUAGAAAGAGACUUGAAUGUACAAAGAUACUUGAUGCACUUAUUUUUUAAUGUGAGACCGCAAGUUUAUAAAACAUCUGUGUAGGAUUAUAGAUACUCCAGUUAAAGGAGCAAGUGUGUGCGCGUGUGGGAGGGGGACCUAGAAGCUGAUCUGAUGGGUGCAGCGGUUUGAUGCUGAGUCAUGUGUGUUGAAUACCACCUCAGUGCACCUGUGGCCCCUCAGCCGAACAAGUUGAGCCUAUCAUAGCUUCUCUACUACUGCAAGUUCCAAGAUCGAAAUGGCUUCUAUGAUCAGAACUGGGAGCACAGUGAAUCUUAUGGUGGAAGAGGUUCUCGACAAGUGUACAGUAUUUACCUUCCUUUGUCUUACAUUGGCUUUUUUCCUUUUUUUUUAAAUUUUCCAUUACUUUCAGCAUAAUUAUGGGAACAAGUGUACAGAAGAGUUUUUUUGUUUUUGUUUUUGUUUUUAGAUAUGUGAGAACUUUUCAUAGGUGAACUUUUUAACAAAUGUUUUCAUUUACAGGAAAAUGCAAAGAAAAUUUCAAGUGACAGUCUUUUUUUUUUUAAGUCUUUCAUAAGACAAAAUAAUGUUUCUUGAAGUUCUGGUGAGAUUGAAGUCUGAUGUUGCAGUAAUAUUUAUUAAAACCCGUAACUACCAGGAAUAGUGAUACCUUCCACCCCUUGAUUCCCCUAACAUACAAACCUUAGUAUGUGUUAUUUGAGAGUGGGGCAGAAUGGCACGGUAGGCUACUUUCCCAGGCCUUUGCAAGUGUAUCACCCUGUGGUAUUCUACAUCCUUCUUUGAAGACCUUUAACCAUGAGGUAAAAGAGCCAAGACAAGUUCAAAGAACCCUAGCAAAAAUUUGCUUUGGGAUUUUCUUUUCUGGAAAAAAAGGUAAAAGAAAUAAUUCAUUGAGAGCAAAUGAAUUCCCGUCUCCAACGAUUCAUCAUGUGGAGUUCAGAGAUCAUUUCCAUCAUUGUCGUCAUUGAACUAUGAACCUGGAAGCCAGAUCAUGAUUAAAACUGACGUCAAGUUUCAAGUUGCAGAUCAAUGCACCCAGUGUUCAGAUGUGGCAAACUUCUCAGUGACAACUGUGCUGUGCUCUGUCACGUUGUGUUUCCUGCAGACUCUUUAAGAUCUACGGAGUAGUGAACAAUGACCUCAUUUUAUUUUCUAUGUUAGUUAUUUAUUUCAAAAUUAACAUUUUAGUUGAUUUUUGUCUGGUAAGUGUAUGUUUUGCACUGCUAACUAACUACUAUGAGGGUUUAAACAAUGCUUCUUCAGGGUCCCUCCACGGAGGACCUAUGCAGUCUACUUAAUGCUGUGAAUUACAUUUUUCAAAUGUUUUAAUUUUUUAAAAAAUUAAUAUUCUAUUUUUUUUAGGCUUCUCUAGAAAUGCUUUUAUUUAUUACCCCAUUUCUUUAGAGUCCUUAAGAAUGACACAUUGAUAAAGGGUACAAAAAAAUCACACAAAAUGGAAAACUCAUUGUGACAAAAAUGGAUUUUAUUGAGUAUAAACUUACCUACUUCAAACUUACUUUAUGAGACCACCCAAGAUAACUCAUGAUAAUUAUUUACUGGUUAGUUGAGUUGGUUAGGUCCACGUAAUACAUGGGAAGAGAAACUGAUUUCCAGCCUUCUUGCCAAAUCCAGACCUCUGCUUGAUUUUUCUUUGAUAGAAGAUGGAAUUAUUUUCCAGUUUCCCCAAAUUAAAUUUAACGUGUGCAUUAUUUUGCUUUGUAAAAAAAUACAUUUUGGAGAAUUAUAGCCAAUCUUCAAUUAUAACCAUUCUAUCCUACUCCUUUUUUUCCUUUUUUUUUUUGCUAUGGGAUUUAAUGGGAAAAAUACACAAAAGCUGUCACUGGUCAGCUGGCUCUUUUUCCUACGAAAUGUAACGGUACCUUUUUCCAUCCAUUGUUCUCAGUGAUGACCGCAGAGCUUGAGUAUACCAGGAAAGUCAAUAUUUGCAUUGCAGGUCGCUCCUGUCCUUCCAGACACCUCUCCUACCUGUGUGACUAACCUAAUUUUGCUAGUUCCAUAAGUACACAAUUAGUUUAGUAACAGCCAUCACAAUGUACCAUGUACAUUCAUGGUGAGGGCUAGAGAUUGACACAGACUUCUAGGAGCUUUAUUCGUACUGAUUACUUAAUCCAAUUGUACAGAUUGAAUAUUUGAGUGAAAGGAAUUUACACUGUUUAAAUGACGAGACUCCAUCAAGAGGGCACUCAUGAUCACGAACUUUUGGUAGUGUUCUUAAGCAAAAUUCUACAGAGACUAAAUGUUAAGAGAUGAUCCUCCACUUUCAAUUUUAACGAAUUCUAUCCCCUUUCUCAAAACCCAACCCCCAUGCAUGCUUUCUCAGUCUUGUGGUGGGACUGGAUACAAUGACCCCUUCCCCCCCCAACACCAUUUUCCAUGGAGUUCAAAAAAAAAAAAAAAAAUUUUUUUUUUUUAAACCUUACAUAUCCUAGUGAAUGGUUUCCCCAGUGUAUAUGAAUGUUUUAAGUGUCUCCAAUAGCUUAUGCAGUUUAGGAGCUUUUCAAUACUCAUUUAAUAAGAUUCAAUCAUUUGCUAAUGAAAAUUCUACCACCUUCCAUUUUCUCUCUAUUACCAAAUUUCAGCUCUCAGGAGCUGCUCUACAAUUCUGAAAUUGCUUUUCUUGCCUCUCUUUAGUCACCUGUCACAGGAGGUUCUUGCUCGGUAAUGAUAUUGUGAGUUAGAUUAAUAACAUUUUUUUUUGUGCUUCAGAUUUAGAAGAAAAGAUUUGUUUCCAUUUGAAAGGAACUGUAAGCUUUUAUCUUCUAACCAACUGAACAACACACCAAAAACAGCCUAGGGAUGAGCAUUUCUUUGAAAGCAAUUAGGUUAUUCACCUGGUAUUAAAACUAUUGACUAUUAAAAAAAUGACUUUAUUAAUUUAAAAGGCAGCAUCAAAAACUGAAAAGGAAGGGAAAAAAAUAAAUAGCUUCUCUUCACUCGUUUGGAGCUCCCCAAACAGGAGCCAUCAAGAUGAGGCAUCAAGACCGGGCUGCCCUUUCGAGAACACCGUGCAGCCGUCCUGAGUCAUGCUUACCUGCGCUGCAUGCAGCCUUCUCUUUCCGGUCCUGGAAAGAAGUGGUCUUGAGCCCAGCUGAGAAGCACCUCCACUCCUCUCUCUUGUUCUGAAUGGUGUUUGUGUCAGUCUGCAGCUGUGUAUGGUAUUAUGUCUUAUAAUCCUGCAUCACUUCUAUCCUAUCCAGUCAUAUCUAAUGUAGAAAAUUAGUUUUCAGUGAAAGUAAUAUGUAGUGCUUUUAUGAUAUUUGUGUGCAAUAUCCCCUCUUCCAUUGAGGAUAUUUGAUGUAAAAGAAAAAAAAAAACUCAGUUCCACAAUAAAAUACAAAAGUGGCAAAAGUU
Molecule: non-coding RNA, 5435 nt
Organism: Leptonychotes weddellii (Weddell seal)
Lineage: Eukaryota; Metazoa; Chordata; Mammalia; Carnivora; Phocidae
Source: RefSeq, a predicted model, not a curated record